GACGAACGCUGGCGGCGUGCUUAACACAUGCAAGUCGAACGGAAAGGCCUCGUUCUUGGGGUACUCUAGUGGCGAACGGGUGAGUAACACGUGAGUAACCUGCCCUUGUGUUUGUGAUAACUUCAGGAAACUGGGGCUAAUACCGGAGAUGAGCGCCUGCUGCGUGUGGGGGGUUGGGAAGUUUCGGGGGGUGGGGAUGGACUCGCGGCGUAUCAGCUUGUUGGGGGGGGAGUGGGUUACCAAGGCCUUGACGGGUAGCCGGCCUGGGAGGGUGAACGGCCAAAUUGGGAAUGAGAUAAGGCCCAGACUCCCACCGGAGGCAGCAGGGGGGAAUAUUGCAACAUGGGUGGAAGCCCGAUGCAGCAAACGCGUGUGCGGGAUGAAGGGCUUCGGGUUGUAAACCGCUUUCGGUCAUGAAGAAGCUUUGUGUGACGGUAGUGGGUAAAGAAGCACCGGCUAACUACGUG
Molecule: ribosomal RNA, 467 nt
Filed under: uncultured bacterium
Lineage: Bacteria
Description: partial 16S ribosomal RNA
Rfam family: Bacterial small subunit ribosomal RNA
Source: RNAcentral